RNAcentral lists this ribosomal RNA (264 nucleotides) under Rhodopseudomonas sp. RNAcentral describes it as "partial 16S ribosomal RNA". It matches the Rfam family "Bacterial small subunit ribosomal RNA", at positions 46 to 334 of the family's 1533-position model. Lineage: Bacteria; Pseudomonadati; Pseudomonadota; Alphaproteobacteria; Hyphomicrobiales; Nitrobacteraceae. The record is from RNAcentral.
AGGCUUAACACAUGCAAGUCGAACGGGCGUAGCAAUACGUCAGUGGCAGACGGGUGAGUAACACGUGGGAACGUACCUUUUGGUUCGGAACAACUGAGGGAAACUUCAGCUAAUACCGGAUAAGCCCUUACGGGGAAAGAUUUAUCGCCGAAAGAUCGGCCCGCGUCUGAUUAGCUAGUUGGUGAGGUAAUGGCUCACCAAGGCGACGAUCAGUAGCUGGUCUGAGAGGAUGAUCAGCCACAUUGGGACUGAGACACGGCCCAA